Molecule: ribosomal RNA, 443 nt
Filed under: Glyphocassis spilota
Lineage: Eukaryota; Metazoa; Arthropoda; Insecta; Coleoptera; Chrysomelidae
Description: partial 16S rRNA
Source: RNAcentral
UGUUUAAUAAAAACAUGUCUUCUUGAUUAUAAUUUGAAGUCUGACCUGCUCUAUGAUUUUUAAAUGGCCGCAGUAUUUUGACUGUGCUAAGGUAGCAUAAUAAUUAGUUUCUUAAUUAGAAGCUUGUAUGAAUGGUUUGAUAAAAAAACUUCUAUCUUAAAUUAAUUUUAUUUGAAUUUUAUCUUUAAGUAAAAAAGCUUAAAUUUUUUUAGGGGACGAGAAGACCCUAUAGAAUUUAAUAAUUUUUUAUUUUAAAUUUUUUUAGAAUUUAUUUUUUAAUUUGAAGUAUUAUUUAGUUGGGGUGACUGAAAAAUUUAAUGAACUUUUUUUUAUUAAAACUUUUUAAUUGAAUUAUGAUCCGAUUUAUCGUUACAAGAAAAAAUUACCUUAGGGAUAACAGCGUUAUAAUUUUUUAGAGUUCUUAUCGAAAAAAUUGAUUGCGA